CACGUAGGGUGCGAGCGUUGCCCGGAAUUAUUGGGCGUAAAGAGCUCGUAGGCGGUGUGUCGCGUCGGCCGUGAAAACCUGCAGCUUAACUGUGGGCUUGCGGUCGAUACGGGCAUCACUGGAGUUCGGCAGGGGAGACUGGAAUUCCUGGUGUAGCGGUGAAAUGCGCAGAUAUCAGGAGGAACACCGAUGGCGAAGGCAGCGCGCUGGGACGGUACUGACGCUGAGGCGCGAAAGCGUGGGGAGAAAACAGG
Molecule: ribosomal RNA, 254 nt
Filed under: uncultured bacterium
Lineage: Bacteria
Description: partial 16S ribosomal RNA
Rfam family: Bacterial small subunit ribosomal RNA
Source: RNAcentral